RNAcentral lists this long non-coding RNA (570 nucleotides) under Physcomitrium patens. Its description in RNAcentral is "long non-coding RNA (PPAT_LNC014536)". The record is from RNAcentral. Lineage: Eukaryota; Viridiplantae; Streptophyta; Bryopsida; Funariales; Funariaceae.
UUAGGAUUUGAUUAAGAUUUGGUUAAGGUUUUUUUAGGUUUAUUUAGGAUUUUAUUAGAAUUUUUUAGGAUUUUUUUAGGAUUUUACUAGAAUUUAUUUAAGAUUGAUUAAGAUUUGGUUAGGAUUUGACUAAGAUUUGAUUAAUAUUUGGUUAGAAUUUGAUUAGGAUUUGAUUAGAAUUUGGUUAGGAUUUUAUUAGAAUUUGAUUAGGAUUUAUUUAGGAUUGACUAGGAUUUGGUUAGGAUUUAAUUAGGAUUUGAUUAGGAUUUGGUUAAGGUUUGUUUAAAAUUUGAUUAGGUUCUAUUUAGGAUUUUUUAGGAUUUGACUAAGAUUUGAUAGAAUUUGUUUAAGAUUUGACUAAGAUAUAUUUAAGAUUUAUUAGAAUUUAAUUAGGAUUUGAUUAGGAUUUGAUUAAGAUUUGACUAUGAUUUAUUUAGGAUUUGAUUAAGGUUUGACUAAUAUUUAAUUAAGUUUUUUAUUUUAAUAUUUUAUUAAAAUUUCUAUAUUAGUUUAUUCUUUAAUUCCUAUAUUAUUUCUUUAUAAUUUCUUUAAAGGAUCUUUAGGAAUACU